UGGGGCGUCGACAAGUGGUUUAAGUCACUGGGUUUUGGACCCAGCAUUCGGAGGUUCGAAUCCUCCCGCCCCAGCCA
RNAcentral lists this transfer RNA (77 nucleotides) under Candidatus Nitronauta litoralis. RNAcentral's name for it is "tRNA-Gln". It matches the Rfam family "tRNA". Rfam says of the family: Transfer RNA (tRNA) molecules are approximately 80 nucleotides in length. Their secondary structure includes four short double-helical elements and three loops (D, anti-codon, and T loops). Further hydrogen bonds mediate the characteristic L-shaped molecular structure. tRNAs have two regions of fundamental functional importance: the anti-codon, which is responsible for specific mRNA codon recognition, and the 3' end, to which the tRNAs corresponding amino acid is attached (by aminoacyl-tRNA synthetases). tRNAs cope with the degeneracy of the genetic code in two manners: having more than one tRNA (with a specific anti-codon) for a particular amino acid; and 'wobble' base-pairing, i.e. permitting non-standard base-pairing at the 3rd anti-codon position. The record is from RNAcentral. Lineage: Bacteria; Pseudomonadati; Nitrospinota; Nitrospinia; Nitrospinales; Nitrospinaceae.